This 569-nucleotide ribosomal RNA is filed under the name Salmonella enterica. RNAcentral's name for it is "partial 23S ribosomal RNA". It matches the Rfam family "Bacterial large subunit ribosomal RNA", at positions 911 to 1481 of the family's 2925-position model. The record is from RNAcentral. Lineage: Bacteria; Pseudomonadati; Pseudomonadota; Gammaproteobacteria; Enterobacterales; Enterobacteriaceae. RNAcentral also lists the same sequence under 5 other names.
UGUUUCGGCUAGGGGGCCAUCCCGGCUUACCAACCCGAUGCAAACUGCGAAUACCGGAGAAUGUUAUCACGGGAGACACACGGCGGGUGCUAACGUCCGUCGUGAAGAGGGAAACAACCCAGACCGCCAGCUAAGGUCCCAAAGUCAUGGUUAAGUGGGAAACGAUGUGGGAAGGCCCAGACAGCCAGGAUGUUGGCUUAGAAGCAGCCAUCAUUUAAAGAAAGCGUAAUAGCUCACUGGUCGAGUCGGCCUGCGCGGAAGAUGUAACGGGGCUAAACCAUGCACCGAAGCUGCGGCAGCGACACUUUAGUGUUGUUGGGUAGGGGAGCGUUCUGUAAGCCGUUGAAGGUGUCCUGUGAGGGGUGCUGGAGGUAUCAGAAGUGCGAAUGCUGACAUAAGUAACGAUAAAGCGGGUGAAAAGCCCGCUCGCCGGAAGACCAAGGGUUCCUGUCCAACGUUAAUCGGGGCAGGGUGAGUCGACCCCUAAGGCGAGGCCGAAAGGCGUAGUCGAUGGGAAACGGGUUAAUAUUCCCGUACUUGGUGUUACUGCGAAGGGGGGACGGAGAAGG